GUGGAUUAGAUACCCUGGUAGUCCACGCCCUAAACGAUGUCAACUGGUUGUUGGGAGAGUGAAAUCUCUUAGUAACGAAGCUAACGCGUGAAGUUGACCGCCUGGGGAGUACGGUCGCAAGAUUAAAACUCAAAGGAAUUGACGGGGACCCGCACAAGCGGUGGAUGAUGUGGAUUAAUUCGAUGCAACGCGAAGAACCUUACCUACCCUUGACAUGUCCGAAACUUUCCAGAGAUGGAUUGGUGCCCGAAAGGGAAUCGGAACACAGGUGCUGCAUGGCUGUCGCCAGCU
Molecule: ribosomal RNA, 291 nt
Filed under: uncultured bacterium
Lineage: Bacteria
Description: partial 16S ribosomal RNA
Rfam family: Bacterial small subunit ribosomal RNA
Source: RNAcentral